CUGCCGAGCGCCGAGCAGCCGAUGGACAUGGCGGUCCCGGCCGUGUGAGGAUCCGCCAGGCCCAGAUUCCGGGCCGCAGACGAGACGGGCUUCCCGCCCGCGGCCGGUCGGGUACCGAGGGCUGUUGCUGGGGGCUCGCUCGGGAGCGGUGCGAGUUCCUUCUGCUCCUGAGAGGAGACUUCACCUGGGGCCAUGAUGCCACUUUCCUGUCACCUGUAUGCUGCUUAUUUCGGCUAACAUUCCGGGAGCCCUGGUCUGGGGAGGAAUCAAGCUAACUGUUGGCAUGAGGCCCCUGCCUUGUUGGAGUUGAGAGCGCACUGCCAUGGCUUCUCUGGAUGACCCGGGGGACGUGAGGGAGGGCUUCCUCUGCCCCCUGUGCUUGAAGGACUUGCAGUCUUUCUAUCAGUUGCAGUCACAUUAUGAGGAGGAGCAUUCAGGGGAAGACCGUGAUGUCAGAGGGCAGAUUAAAAGUUUUGUCCAAAAGGCUAAGAAAGCAAAGAACAAGUUGCUGAGACGGGAGGGGGAUGACCGAGCAGAGCCAGGGCCCCCAGGAUACGAGUCCUUCAGCAAUGGAGGGGUCGACCCUUACAUGUGGGAGCCUCAGGAACUGGGGACUGUGAGAAGCCAUCUUUCUGACUUCAAAAAACACCGUGCUGCCAGAAUUGACCACUACGUUGUUGAAGUCAAUAAAUUAAUAAUCAGGUUAGAGAAGCUCACUGCAUUUGACAGAAGCAACACGGAGUCUGCAAAGAUUCGAGCGAUCGAAAAGUCUGUGGUGCCUUGGGUCAACGACCAAGACGUCCCUUUCUGUCCUGACUGUGGGAGCAAAUUCAGCAUCCGUAACCGCCGCCACCAUUGCCGCCUCUGCGGCUCAAUCAUGUGCAAGAGGUGCAUGGAGCUCAUCAGCCUGCCCUUGGCAAACAAGCUCACCAGUGCCAGCAGGGAUGCCCUGAGCACCCACACCAGCCCCAGCCAGUCUCCUGGCAGCGUGCAUGGCUCGCGCCGUGGCAGCAUCGGCAGUGUGAGCAGCGUGAGCUCUGUGCUGGAUGAGAAGGAGGACGAGCGCAUCCGCUGCUGUGGGCACUGCAAGGACACACUGCUGCGCAAGGAGCAGCAGAUGGAUGAACGGGAGCACACGCCCGCCAUCACCAAGCUGUACGAGAAAUUGCGGCUCUGCAUGGAGAAGGUGGACCAGAAAGCUCCGGAAUACACUCGCAUGGCGGCGUCCUUGAAUGCUGGGGAGACCACCUACAGCCUGGAGCAGGCUGGCGACCUCCGCCUGGAGGUGCAGAAAGUAUACGAACUCAUAGACGCCCUGAGUAAGAAGAUCUUAACCCUGGGCUUGAACCAGGACCCCCCACCGCACCCCAACACGCUGAGGCUGCAGAGGAUGAUCCGGUACUCGGCCACACUCUUCGUGCAGGAAAAGUUGCUGGGUUUGAUGUCAUUGCCGACCAAAGAACAGUUUGAAGAGCUGAAAAAGAAAAGGAAGCAAGAUAUGGAGAGGAAGAGGAUGCUGGAGAGACAGGCUGCCCUGGAGUCACAGCGCAGGCUGGAGGAGAAGCACCAUGGUCUGGCAGCCAACGGGGAGGUGGCCCCCACAAGGAAGACUGAGGGCUGGCUCCCGCUGCCGGGGACGCAGGGCCAGCACGAGGACCCCGACCCCCUGCUGCAGCAGAUCUACAACAUUGAGUCAUUCAUCAAGCAGGCCCAAGCUGCUGGCCGUACAGAUGAGGUGCGCACCCUGGGGGAGAACCUGCGGCAGUUGCAGGACGAGUACGACCAGCAGCAGACGGCCAAGGCCAUCGAGCUAUCCCGCAGACAGGCGGAGGAGGAGGCCCUGCAGCGCGAGCAGCUGCAGAGGCUGCAGGAGCGGGAGUGGGAGCGGGAUCGGGAUCGGGCCACCUCCCUGCACUCUCGCACCCGGGCCCUAGACUCCCGGGAGGCCACGCCCUUCCUGCUAGAGCCUAGCUCCAGGCCUCGCCCACAUCCCUCCUUCGCACUGGAGCUGGGAUCCUCCCCAGGCUUGAGCAGCAUGGCCCAGGCCACACUAGGUGAAACCCCCUCACCUAGUUCGGCAUGGGCCCUGGGCCAGGAGCGCCUCCCCCAGAGCACCGAGCCCCAGCAGAGCGACAACGCUCCGAACCCCUUCAGCGGAGAUGGCCUCCCCAGUCCUGCCACUGCACAGGCCGUGCUCCCCAGAGAGUACAACCCUUUUGAGGAGGAGGAAGAGGAGGAGAAAGACACAGCAGCCUUGGCCACGGCCACAACUAACCCCUUCAUCAGCCCUGACAGCCCUGCACCCAACCCCUUCGAUGAGGAUGACGACGAGGACCACAGCAGCCCCAACCGGAGGCCUGCUAGCCCGCCCGUGCCUGGCAACCCCUUCGAGGAGCCCACUGGCACCAACCCCUUUGAGGUAGACAGCGACAGCGGCCCAGAGGCCGAGGAGCCCAUCGAGGAGGACCUGCUCCUGCAGCAGAUCAACAACAUCAAGGCCUACAUCUUUGAUGCCAAGCAGUAUGGGCGCCUGGACGAGGUGGAGGUGCUGACUGAGAACCUGCGGGAGCUGAGAUGCACCUUGGCCAAGCAGAAGGGGGGUUCCUGAGUGACAGCAGGGAGCAGGGCAUGCAGCCCGGAUGCUGCUGUCCAUUCCAGAUGCAUCUCCAUGAUAGCGGCUAAGAAGGAACUCCUGGGCACCAGCCUUCACUCCUUGGUGGCAUUUGCUGCCUCUUCUGUUUUUUUUUACUCAGCGUUUCCUCCUUUCAAGGACUUUGCAUCUUUACUACAAAGCUGUAACUUGGUGCACCUCUGUGGCCAAGGUGGACAUGACCACUAGCACCUCAUGGUCUCGGGCGCUAUGCAGUGUUAAGGCGGCCUCUGAUGGGCAGGCAGCCCCAAGUUGUCCUGCUCUGGCAGAACCCUGCGCCCGUUGGGCUGUGGGUCCCAGCUUUGCCUAGGGUUGGUCCUGGGGACCAGUGCUGUGGUGCAGGGAACACUGGAGCAGGGGCCCCACCUUGGAGGAUGUGCCGCCAGUGUCCCCUUCCCGCCCAGGCUACAGUGUCGCUCCCAGGGUGCUGUGCACUGUGACCUGGCCACGAGCCUGCAGGAAAAGGCACAGUUAAUGUCCUGGCCUCUGUUGGUGCGUCUGGGAGAAUCCCUCACGUGGACACAGCCCCGAGCCAGGCCUUCAGGAAGGGCCGGCGUAUAGCUCCAGAGCUGGUGAGCGGAGGCCUGUGUGGAACAUCGCCAGAAGAGCAGGGCCUUCUCCAAGGCUGAGUAGAGUCCGGCAAGCUCUGUGCUCUGGCCAGCAUCUUGCUCAUCGGGCCACCCUGGCCAGGGUGCUGGUGAGCAGUCUCCUCACCACUGUUAGUGUUAAGGAACCAAACUGCUAGGAGGGUGAACAGCACCCUGCAGUGGCCUGUGGCACUUGGUCUUCAGCUGGGGCAGAAAAGGCCGCUGGCUCCUUGGCUUUGGUGCUCUGGUACGCAGGAGCCAGACCCUGGACUGACGGGCGCCCUCAUGGCUCUGGGCAGCACGCUGCAGGGAGCCUGCUGUCUCUCCGAGGAGCCAGUGGCCUUCCACCCCGAAGAAGCUAAUACAGCUCGCAGCGUCGAGUGGGGGCUCAGUGGAGACGGACUUGGCGCUGCCGCCCCCUGAAACCAGUGCCAGGUAGCAGUCUGCAAGGAACUGAGCAUCAGAGAUGCACACAGCACGUUUUUAAAAACUUUUUUAAGAAGUUAACUCUGUGAACAUACUAAUCCAAACUAAAGUCAGACCCCUCAGGUUCUGUGGGACUGUCCUGUGGCUGUCUUCCAGUCUUGGCCUCUGUCCCUGGAGCCUGUGGAGGACAGGCGACCACGGGGAAGAGACAGCUGUGUGCUCCACCUGUGUGGAGGGCAAGUCUGUGCUGGGGUUUGCAUCUCCCCGUCUAAUACACUAAGAACACUCGCUCCCACUUGCA
Molecule: RNA transcript, 3964 nt
Organism: Chinchilla lanigera (long-tailed chinchilla)
Lineage: Eukaryota; Metazoa; Chordata; Mammalia; Rodentia; Chinchillidae
Gene: Rbsn
Gene name: rabenosyn, RAB effector
Exons: 13
Source: RefSeq, a predicted model, not a curated record